RNAcentral lists this ribosomal RNA (464 nucleotides) under uncultured bacterium. RNAcentral describes it as "bacterial SSU rRNA". It matches the Rfam family "Bacterial small subunit ribosomal RNA", at positions 338 to 795 of the family's 1533-position model. The record is from RNAcentral.
CCUACGGGCCGCAGCAGUGGGGAAUAUUGCACAAUGGGCGCAAGCCUGAUGCAGCCAUGCCGCGUGUAUGAAGAAGGCCUUCGGGUUGUAAAGUACUUUCAGCGGGGAGGAAGGCGAUAAGGUUAAUAACCUUGUCGAUUGACGUUACCCGCAGAAGAAGCACCGGCUAACUCCGUGCCAGCAGCCGCGGUAAUACGGAGGGUGCAAGCGUUAAUCGGAAUUACUGGGCGUAAAGCGCACGCAGGCGGUCUGUCAAGUCGGAUGUGAAAUCCCCGGGCUCGACCUGGGAACUGCAUUCGAAACUGGCAGGCCAGAGUCUUGUAGAGGGGGGUAGGAUUCCAGGUGUAGCGGUGAAAUGCGUAGAGAUCUGGAGGAAUACCGGUGGCGAAGGCGGCCCCCUGGACAAAGACUGACGCUCAGGUGCGAAAGCGUGGGGAGCAAGCAGGAUUAGAUACCCAGUAGUC